CCAUGUGUCAUUUGUAUUAAGAUAAAUUAUUUAAUUACUCUCUAUUAGUAAUUAAUUUUUCAUGAAGGAAUAUGUAAUGGUUAUUGUGAGAUAAAAUAGGAUCGCAUUAGGAGACCGAAUUUAUCCCAAAGAGUAUAUGACAACAUAUGACAUGUAUGACAAGGUCAUUGGAUGAGCUCUUAGUAAGGUUGCUUUCAUAAUGGUAUAUGAUGGGGAGAGCUCAGUUAUGAUACUUUAGUGGAAUGACUUUGUGACCAUAUGAUGUUGUUUUUAACAGACGAAGAGUUGGAACUUAAUUACAAAUUAUUUGAGCACUAACUAUGUAUGUCCA
RNAcentral lists this long non-coding RNA (331 nucleotides) under Gossypium barbadense (sea-island cotton). RNAcentral's name for it is "long non-coding RNA (GBAR_LNC021741)". The record is from RNAcentral. Lineage: Eukaryota; Viridiplantae; Streptophyta; Magnoliopsida; Malvales; Malvaceae.